This 387-nucleotide ribosomal RNA is filed under the name Chaetoceros sp. RNAcentral describes it as "partial small subunit ribosomal RNA". It matches the Rfam family "Eukaryotic small subunit ribosomal RNA", at positions 582 to 975 of the family's 1831-position model. The record is from RNAcentral. Lineage: Eukaryota; Bacillariophyta; Thalassiosirophyceae; Chaetocerotales; Chaetocerotaceae.
AUUCCAGCUCCAAUAGCGUAUAUUUUAGUUGUUGCAGUUAAAAAGCUCGUAGUUGAAUUUCUGGUGGGAAGAUGCGGACGGCCUCAUGGCUUGUUCCAAGUCUUCCGGCCAUCCUUGGGUGGAGCUCGUCUGGCAUUAAGUUGUCGGGCGGGGGAUGCCCAUCGUUUACUGUGAAAAAAUUGAAGUGUUCAAAGCAGACUUAUGUCGUUGAAUAUAUUAGCAUGGAAUAAUAAGAUAGGACAGCAGUGCUAUUUUGUUGGUUUGCGCACCGUUGUAAUGAUGAAUAGGGACAGUUGUGGGUAUUUAUAUUCACUUGUAAGAGGUGAAAUUCUUAGAUUAAGGGAAGAUAAACUACUGCGAAAGCAUUUACCAAGGAUGUUUUCAUCG